Molecule: long non-coding RNA, 1697 nt
Filed under: Gossypium barbadense (sea-island cotton)
Lineage: Eukaryota; Viridiplantae; Streptophyta; Magnoliopsida; Malvales; Malvaceae
Description: long non-coding RNA (GBAR_LNC004699)
Source: RNAcentral
UUUACUUCGUCUGUUUUAGAAAUCCCCUAAAAUUUCCCUUUACUUCCAAACCCUGAUUUCAAAAAUCCCUUAUAAUUUCCCCCAAAGAGAUAUCCUCAAAUAGUUUUCCCUGAAGUCCCUUUGAUUUGCUCUGCUAUCAGUAGUUUUCCCAUAACAAUUUUUGAUUUUGCACCCUAAUUGCGUAUACGUCUUCCCCAACUUAAACCCAAUUUCAUUCCCCUAUUUACCCAAUUUCUUUUCUCUCAUUUUCCUUAACUGCGUCUGCGUCUGCGUCUGCCUCUUCUCUCCGCCGCUGCCGCUGGAAUUUCGUGUCCUAUAGGUAUUGUUACUACUUAUAUGGACACUUUAUUUAGUUUUAGUCUCUUUGAAAAUGGAUAAUGCGUGUCAUCUUUGUGUUUAUAUUGACUUUGUUAGGUUGUAUUUUAUUACUUUAUAAGCUUCGAAUUUAUAUUUUUUUUAUGAGUACAAUGUGUCUUACUUGGGUGUUUAGGAAAUGAUGAGAUCUUGAGAAAAGGGUUUUCCAGUUUGUUCACGUUAUGAGAUCUUAUGUUCAUGUUGUUCAUAUACAACAGCUACUGUUGUUGACCAUUUGUAAAAAAAGAAUCAUUUACCCGGUGAUGUAAGAGUAAUGAAUUUUUACUGAAGUGAAAUUGUAUUAAAAUUUAUGCAUAUAAUAGUAUAACUGAAAUAAUGCAGCAAUAUAAAAAUAUGAUCAAAAGCAAAGUAACUCGUAUAAUUAAAUCAGGGCAGGGCAAGAUUCAUAUGGAAGCACACAAACACAAAAGGCUGCAUUACUGAAGCGAUAUGGAGGACUGGGAUUCAUAUGAUUACCUAUUUCUUAAGCAGUGUGAAAUUAGGAAAGAACGUGCGACGCAUCUGCCAUUCAAUUAUCACUAAUAGCUUGGUCCACUGUAUCAAUAGCAAGGAACACAUAGAGUAAUGCCAUUCCAUUUUUCUUUACUUAUUUACAAAUUGAUAUAGAAUUCAACUUAUAGGUUAAUGAUAUAGGUUUAAUGCACUGCUUCAUUGGAUGGGAUUCAUCCACUUUGUUUAAUGCAUUUUUUUGCUAUUCAAUUUGCAAUUUUCAAUAUCAGAUGUACGUUUCAGAUGCUUUAAAGUUCACAGGCACUAUGAAAUAAGUCAUUUUUUGGGAGCACUUUUCUCCUUAAUUUUCUUUUUAAAGUGAAUAAUAUCAAGAACUUCUAGAUUCACAAUCAGUUUGUUUAAUGCAUUUUUCCAUUACACGUGUGAUGAUGAUACUGGAUAAUCUAUUUGGUUAAUGCAGAUUUGAUUACACAUAAAUUUCUGUGUAAUGAAAUUGAUGUUGCAAAUUAGCAGGUUUAUAGUUGUGAGGUUUUCUACUUAUGGAUUAACUUUUGAUAUCCAUUAGCCUUGUACUUUAUCAGAAUGUGUUAUAUUUCCUCAACAAUGUCUAAUUUGAGUUUAUAGAAGCAAUAAACCCAUGUUGUAAACGGUGGAUGUAGUAAACCCAUGUUAGUCUAAUUUCAAAGGGUUUUUGAAUUUCCAUUUUAGUCUAUAAAUUUUUAAGUUUAUUGCUGUACAUUUUUUAAUGUAAAAAUCAAAUUACUAUUCUUGUUUAUCCUUGGAUUAUUUUUUAAUUUCAUGGCUGUUCAUUGUUUACAGGUGUAAUUUAAUUUGCUGGAAUUGACUCUACCAUCUAAUUUACAAUUUCUAAG